UUCGAAGCAACGCGAAGAACCUUACCAGGUCUUGACAUCCUCUGACAAUCCUAGAGAUAGGACGUCCCCUUCGGGGGCAGAGUGACAGGUGGUGCAUGGUUGUCGUCAGCUCGUGUCGUGAGAUGUUGGGUUAAGUCCCGCAACGAGCGCAACCCUUGAUCUUAGUUGCCAGCAUUCAGUUGGGCACUCUAAGGUGACUGCCGGUGACAAACCGGAGGAAGGUGGGGAUGACGUCAAAUCAUCAUGCCCCUUAUGACCUGGGCUACACACGUGCUACAAUGGACAGAACAAAGGGCAGCGAAACCGCGAGGUUAAGCCAAUCCCACAAAUCUGUUCUCAGUUCGGAUCGCAGUCUGCAACUCGACUGCGUGAAGCUGGAAUCGCUAGUAAUCGCGGAUCAGCAUGCCGCGGUGAAUACGUUCCCGGGCCUUGUACACACCGCCCGUCACACCACGAGAGUUUG
This 463-nucleotide ribosomal RNA is filed under the name Bacillus velezensis. Its description in RNAcentral is "bacterial SSU rRNA". It matches the Rfam family "Bacterial small subunit ribosomal RNA", at positions 950 to 1414 of the family's 1533-position model. Lineage: Bacteria; Bacillati; Bacillota; Bacilli; Caryophanales; Bacillaceae. The record is from RNAcentral.